Long non-coding RNA from Bactrocera latifrons, 1101 nucleotides. RefSeq lists it as uncharacterized. Lineage: Eukaryota; Metazoa; Arthropoda; Insecta; Diptera; Tephritidae. The record is from RefSeq and is a predicted model, not a curated record. The transcript is spliced from 3 exons.
GCUAGCCAAGAGACAUGGGUAUAUGAGUUUGACAUGUAAACAAGUCAACAAUCAUCGAAAUGGAGUGAAAAAACCACGCCAAAACCGCUCAAAAGUAAAGGUCAUGCUUAUUGUUUUUUUCGAUAUUCGUGGCUUGGUGCAUCAUGAAUUUGUUUCGGAAGGGAUAGACGGUCAAUGAGGAGUUCUAUUUGGACGUAUUGAGGAAUGAUUUAGUUCAACAAAUCUGGCUUUUAAUACUCCCCAAAGGAGUAGGAAAUACCGAGUCAUAAAUUUGGCCUUAGGAAUAAUAUAUUAAUAGCUGGUAUUCAAUACUUUCUCAUGGAUUACGGAAUUUCCGACUUAAAUAUUUCUUUCAAAAUAUUAAUAGGGAUUGUUCAACAUAAUAUUCUAUCAUAUUCAUGGUAAUACGUUUUAAGCUAAAUGAGAGGCCAACAAAAAAAAUUAACUAUGCAACAUGCUUCAAGUGUCACGUAGACGAACCGCACAAACUUUGCGUAAAAGAAGACAACUCUACUCUCUAUAUUUUAUUGCUGAAAAGAAAUUGCUGGUAAUCUAUUUUGACUUGCGAUAGUUAGAUUAACUAUUAACUAGAUUUAAAACAAGUUUUUACAAAUUGCAAACUUUCAUUUAAUAAAGCUUCAGGAGCAUAUCGUCACCUGCCAUGCAAAAUAACGUAGUAACAUUUUUGGAAAUUUACAGAGGCAUGAAUGAAACACGACAUAAAAUGGAACAUGAGUGAAAAAAAAAUUGAUACUGUCUAAAAGUGGGUUAUAACUGAGCUCAGAGCCUGAAAAUGUUGAACAUUUGUAAUAUUAUUCCAUCAACACCAACUGUCAAGUCUAAUUUUGGACAUCAUCUCAGCAAGUCACGGCUAUAGAAGCUCCAUACAUUGAAGAAAUUAGCGAGGAAACUAACACAAAUACACAUACAUUAAAAAUAAUAAUUUUUUGCUCUUACAUUAUGUGUUAGAUUUUUACAAUUAAGUAGGAAUGUUAUUCAGAACUUUUCACUCCACGGCUUUCCAGUAUUUUAAUAAGAAUUAAAAGCCGUGGAAAAAUAAAAAUUCUAUUGAAAUUUCCAUUUAAUUAAGUAUUCCUGACU